AGCAGGAAAGAUGACACACAAACGGGAGUUGACUGACAAGGAGGGAAGAAAACCAUGCCAGCCCAGGAAAGCUGCAGCAGGACAAGCAGCGGGCAAGCCGUGACAGAUGAAAAGCCAGCAAAAUGGGAUCUGAAGGAAAGGGACUCUGGACAGAGCAACCUCCCUGCCUUUAAGUGUCGCCCAUGUGUCGGCCAAAUUUUGGCUGGGUGAGCCUUUGGACGUGCUCCCUGGAACUUGGAAAUGGGUGUCUGCCCUUGAUGCUGAUGCACUUCUGCAGCAGUCAGGUGGAAGGUGGACAACCCUGUAAGCAAGGCGUGUGUCACCGUUACCUCGUUUGUAGAAGGCCGUGGAUCUGGUUGGUGGUCUUGAGCAGCGCAGCCGCCCUGUAAUCGGGGUCCAGCACAGCUGACAGAUGCGACUGCCAAUGGCGCAGCCUCCUGUAAGCGAGGCACAUGCUGCUGCCUUCUAACACGCGAGGACAAGUGAUAUAAAUGUGUGUAGCACUGGACGUCCCGUAACUAGGAGACCAAGUCCACUGCUAUUGCCAGCCAGUUGGAGAGGUGCCCCCCUGUAAGCAGGGUGGGCGUAGCCUCCUUCAGGUGGCGUGAGUGAGACUGGGCAGUCUGCCACACUGUGCAGCAGGACGGCCUUGCAGACAGGAGCCGAGGGUUGUUGGUGACAGCAAACUCUUCAAAAGACAGAGCCUGGUGACCUACCCGUGGCUGGGUUGAAGUUUGUGGCCUCCUCACUGUUCCCUGUGUCCAGGCAUCUGUCCUUCGUCCUGCAUCUGUGCCUGGUACUCCACAUCCAGAGCCCUGGGCCACCCUGUAACGAGGGUGCAAGUCCCAUGCAUCCUGUUAGACAGCUAGGUUUUGCAGAGCUGCAGCCCACCCUAUAAGCAGGGUGCAGGUUUCAAUGUGCCUUUGGUGACAGCUCUGUCGUCUGGCUGGCUGUGGACCCUCCCUGUAAGCAGGGCUCUGGGCCUUCCCUUUUGACCCCUGAGGGCAGUCUUGCUGGCUGGACGGACCAUGCCCGGUAACGAGGGUGCGAGUCCCGUGCCUCUUGGUGGAGGGCUAGGUUCUACAGAGCUGUGGACCACCCUCGACAGGUUCAUCUUCGUAAUCUUCUAGGCAGUAUACAGGUGUCUGCACGUGUCUAACGACUUCAUCCACUAUGAAAAUCUCAUCGGUAAAUGUUUGCUGAUAACCUUUUUCAAACCUCCCUUUGGUCCUAGACACCCUCACGUGGUCUCCUUUUCUAAACACGGGUGCUGCUGUUUUUAUUUUGAAAUAGUCCCUGUACAUGACUUUCCACACCCAUGGAGAGUUUGAGAAGUUCACGUCAACAGGCCUGGUGUGGAUAGUUCUGUGAAAACUGUGGUUGUAGCUCUUUAUACACUCUUGUAACACAUCAGUGUAGUGAAAGGUGUUGUGGGCUGUAAUAUACCUCCACAUCUUUUAUUUUAAUGUUAUGUUAAACCUCUCUACCACCGCCACUUUCACUUCACAAUUGAUCACAAAAUGGUGAAUAUCGUACUGUUUGAACAGCUUGCUUAAAGAAUCAUAGAAUCGUAGAAUCAUAGAAGUCGGGUCGGAAGGGACCUUGUAGAUC
This is a long non-coding RNA of Alligator sinensis (Chinese alligator), 1611 nucleotides long. RefSeq lists it as uncharacterized. Lineage: Eukaryota; Metazoa; Chordata; Crocodylia; Alligatoridae. The transcript has 3 exons. The record is from RefSeq and is a predicted model, not a curated record.